AGCGAACGCUGGCGGCAGGCCUAACACAUGCAAGUCGAGCGCCCCGCAAGGGGAGCGGCAGACGGGAGAGUAACACGUGGGAACGUGCCCUUUGGUUCGGAACAACCCAGGGAAACUUGGGCUGAUACCGGAUAAGCCCCCACUGGGAAAGAUUUAUCGCCGCAGGAUCGGCCCGCGUCUGAUUAGCUAGUUGGUGGGGUAAUGGCCCACCAUGGCGGCGAUCAGUAGCUGGUCUGAGAGGAUGAUCAGCCUCACUGGGACUGGGACACGGCCCAGACUCCUACGGGAGGCAGCAGUGGGGAAUAUUGGACAAUGGGCGCAAGCCUGAUCCAGCCAUGCCGCGUGGGUGAUGAAGGCCCUAGGGUUGUAAAGCCCUUUCGGCGGGGAAGAUAAUGACGGUACCCGCAGAAGAAGCCCCGGCUAACUUCGUGCCAGCCGCCGCCGUAA
This 447-nucleotide ribosomal RNA is filed under the name uncultured bacterium. Its description in RNAcentral is "partial 16S ribosomal RNA". It matches the Rfam family "Bacterial small subunit ribosomal RNA", at positions 28 to 523 of the family's 1533-position model. The record is from RNAcentral.